CCUACGGGAGGCAGCAGUGGGGAAUCUUGCACAAUGGAGGAAACUCUGAUGCAGCGAUGCCGCGUGAGUGAAGAAGGCCUUCGGGUCGUAAAGCUCUUUUAUGGGGGAAGAUGAUGACGGUACCCCAUGAAUAAGCACCGGCUAACUACGUGCCAGCAGCCGCGGUAAUACGUAGGGUGCGAGCGUUGUUCGGAAUUACUGGGCGUAAAGGGCGUGCAGGCGGAUUGGCAAGCCGGAGGUGAAAGCCCGGGGCUCAACCCCGGAGGGUCUUUCGGAACUGCCAGUCUUGAGAGGGUCAGGGGCCAGCGGAAUUCCUGGUGUAGAGGUGAAAUUCGUAGAGAUCAGGAGGAACACCGGCGGCGAAAGCGGCUGGCUGGGGCCACUCUGACGCUGAGGCGCGAAAGCGUGGGGAGCAAACAGGAUUAGAUACCCUGGUAGUCCACGCCGUAAACGAUGGGCACUAAGCGUCCGACGGGUUCGACCCUGUUGGGUGCUGCAGUUAACGCGUUAAGUGCCCCGCCUGGGGAGUACGGUCGCAAGACUAAAACUCAAAGGAAUUGACGG
Molecule: ribosomal RNA, 564 nt
Filed under: uncultured bacterium
Lineage: Bacteria
Description: bacterial SSU rRNA
Rfam family: Bacterial small subunit ribosomal RNA
Source: RNAcentral